RNAcentral lists this ribosomal RNA (102 nucleotides) under Vibrio cholerae. RNAcentral describes it as "partial 23S ribosomal RNA". It matches the Rfam family "Bacterial large subunit ribosomal RNA", at positions 2824 to 2925 of the family's 2925-position model. RNAcentral also lists the same sequence under 1 other name. The record is from RNAcentral. Lineage: Bacteria; Pseudomonadati; Pseudomonadota; Gammaproteobacteria; Vibrionales; Vibrionaceae.
GUCCUAAAGGGUUGUUCGAGACUAGAACGUUGAUAGGCAGGGUGUGUAAGCGUUGUGAGGCGUUGAGCUAACCUGUACUAAUUGCCCGUGAGGCUUAACCAU